Molecule: long non-coding RNA, 286 nt
Organism: Microplitis mediator
Lineage: Eukaryota; Metazoa; Arthropoda; Insecta; Hymenoptera; Braconidae
Exons: 3
Source: RefSeq, a predicted model, not a curated record
AGUGACAGCGGAAGCUUUGGCACUUCAAAAAUAUAUUCUGAAAUAUAUGGAAUACUCUUUUAAUUCUGAAUGGGAAAAUACGUUUAUACAAAUAUCAGAGCUGACUAAAGAACUACUCAGAAAUUUUAAAGAAAAGGUAUAAAAGUGACGAAAUAUUAAAAACAGAAAUAUAACCUAAUACUGGGUAUUACAUUCGUAAAUCGAUUAUAAUCAGCAUUGAUCUUUUUUAUUCUUAAGACAAUAAUUGGCGGCAACUUAACUAAUAUGUUAGUGCAAAUGAUUAGAG